UGAUUCUCAGUGUCGNUAGGUAACCCGGUAAGCACUCCGCCUGGGGAGUACGCUCGCAAGAGUGAAACUUAAAGGAAUUGACGGGGACUCGCACAAGCAGUGGAGCAUGUGGUUUAAUCCGAUACAACGCGUAGAACCUUACCAAGGCUUGACAUGUUCGGCAAAACUGUGGAAACACAGCGGAGGUUAUCCGGACACAGGUGCUGCAUGGCCGUCGUCAGUUCGUGCCGUGAGGUGUAUGGUUAAGUCCUAUAACGAACGCAACCCUUGGGCUUAGUUGCCAGCAUUUAGUUGGGGACUCUAAGCCGACUGCCUGAGUAAUCAGGAGGAAGGAAAGGAUGACGCCUGGUCGUCAUGGCCCUUAUGCCUUGGGCGACACACGUGCUACAAUGGUUAGUACAAAGGGUCGCCAACCCGCGAGGGGGAGCUAAUCUCAAAAAACUAACCGCAGUUCAGAUUGGAGGCUGCAACUCGCCUCCAUGAAGGUGGAAUUGCUAGUAAUCGUAAAUCAGCCAUGUUACGGUGAAUACGUUCUCGAGUCUUGUACACACCGCCCGUCAAAUCACGAAAGUCGGUAAUGCCUAAAACCAGUUGAUUAACCCGCAAGGGAUACAGCUGACAAGGGUAGGAUUGGCAAUUGGGGUUAAGUCGUAANCAAGGUACCC
RNAcentral lists this ribosomal RNA (665 nucleotides) under uncultured bacterium. Its description in RNAcentral is "bacterial SSU rRNA". It matches the Rfam family "Bacterial small subunit ribosomal RNA", at positions 833 to 1501 of the family's 1533-position model. The record is from RNAcentral.